This is a long non-coding RNA of Ipomoea nil (Japanese morning glory), 222 nucleotides long. RefSeq lists it as uncharacterized. Lineage: Eukaryota; Viridiplantae; Streptophyta; Magnoliopsida; Solanales; Convolvulaceae. The record is from RefSeq and is a predicted model, not a curated record. The transcript has 2 exons.
AUUUAUCUCUUAUUCUCCUGCGGCUGGACUCUGGGAUUUGCAACGAGCCGACGACUCCUUCGACACUUCGACCGACCGACAGUGAUAGGGAACUAAAACUAAUUUGAAAAUUGUUUGGAGUAUGAAAGAAGAGACUAUCUUAAUAUGUUGCUCUAUUGUUGUUGAAUGACGAGUGUUCAAUUCACUCUGUGCACAGCCAUAUCAAUCUCUGCUAAUCCGUUC